This 845-nucleotide ribosomal RNA is filed under the name uncultured eukaryote. Its description in RNAcentral is "bacterial SSU rRNA". It matches the Rfam family "Eukaryotic small subunit ribosomal RNA", at positions 569 to 1204 of the family's 1831-position model. The record is from RNAcentral.
AGCAGCCGCGGUAACACCAGCUCCACAAGCGUAUAUUAAUGUUGUUGCAGUUAAAAAGCUCGUAGUUGGAUAUCUGUCAUGACGGACCUGGCCCAAACAUCUCUGAUGAGUUGCUGUGUGCCGGUUCUGGUGUCCGGUUGUCGCGCUCGUUGUCGGGUUGGCUCGGUUCGCUGGGUCGAUCGGGCGAGUUGUGCUCCGUGUACACUUGUUCGUCGGACAUCCUUCAGGAGAACCGCUCUGCCAUUCACUUGGUUGGGGCGAGGAUCCUGAUCAUUUACUUUGAAAAAAUUAGAGUGUUUCACGCAGGCUUUAUCGCCGCGAAUAUAUUAGCAUGGAAUAAUAAGAUAGGACUUCGGCACCACUGGUGAUUGCUCGGUAGUUUGCUCGAUUGUGCUAUGGGUCGGUUGGGUUUCGUGCUCGGUCGGCUUUCAGUCGUGCGUGACCGUCGGGAUCAAACAGUUGCUUGUUUCUAUUUUGUUGGUUUCUAGAGCUGAAGUAAUGAUUGAUAGGGAUAGUUGGGGGUGCUAAUAUAGCUUUGGCCAGAGGUGAAAUUUCUCGGAUUCUGGUUAGAUUAACUUAUGCGAAAGCAUUCACCAAGGAUGUCUUCUUUAAUCAAGAACGAAAGUUGGGGGGAUCGAAGACGAUCAGAUACCGUCGUAGUCUCACAUAAACUAUGCGACUAGGGAUUGGGGCGUCGUUUGAAUUUUUAGGACUCGCUCCGCACCUUAUUUGAGAAAUCAUAAGUCUUUGGUUCUGGGGGAGUAUGGUCGCAAGGCUGAAACUUAAAGGAAUUGACGGAAGGGGCACCACCAAGGCGUGGAGCCUGCGGCUUAAUUUGACUCAAC